AGUCUCUGUGGCGCAAUUGGUUAGCGCGUUAGACUGUUAAUCUAAAGGUUGGUGGUUCGAGCCCACCCAGGACUA
Non-coding RNA from Oncorhynchus gorbuscha (pink salmon), 75 nucleotides. Lineage: Eukaryota; Metazoa; Chordata; Actinopteri; Salmoniformes; Salmonidae. The record is from the annotation of a RefSeq genome assembly.